RNAcentral lists this ribosomal RNA (378 nucleotides) under Triticum aestivum (bread wheat). RNAcentral describes it as "partial small subunit ribosomal RNA". Lineage: Eukaryota; Viridiplantae; Streptophyta; Magnoliopsida; Poales; Poaceae. The record is from RNAcentral.
AUGGCGCUGCGAACCCUGGCGGCGAGGGUGCGGACUUCCGCCGCUGCGCUCUGCCUCCAGACGCCGGCCCUCGGCCUCUCCCCUCCACCCGCCGGCCGCCCCAACCUCCACUCCGCCGCCGCCACCCGCCGCCUGCCCCAUCCGGUCGGCGGCCGUCCCUGCCUCAUCUCCAGCAGGAAUCUGGGGGGUUCUCCAGCUGAAGACGCAGCUCGGAAGAUGGUGCUUGAGUAUGCUGCCAUACUUGAACGCCUGGAGAAGAGUCACGAAAGGUUCAAGGCGCACGUUGGAUUAAUGGAGAAGUUUGGCAAGGUUCUGAAGUGGUCGUUGGCUUGCAUUAUCCCUGUGCCUUUGGUUUACACCAUUGCGGAGUAUUAUUAG